Molecule: ribosomal RNA, 1032 nt
Filed under: uncultured Chryseobacterium sp.
Lineage: Bacteria; Pseudomonadati; Bacteroidota; Flavobacteriia; Flavobacteriales; Weeksellaceae
Description: bacterial SSU rRNA
Rfam family: Bacterial small subunit ribosomal RNA
Source: RNAcentral
CGAGCGGUAGAAGUCCUUCGGGACUUCGAGAGCGGCGUACGGGUGCGUAACACGUGUGCAACCUACCUUUAUCUGGGGAAUAGCCUUUCGAAAGGAAGAUUAACACCCCAUAAUAUAAUGAUUGGCAUCAACUAUUAUUGAAAACUCCGGUGGAUAGAGAUGGGCACGCGCAAGAUUAGAUAGUUGGUGAGGUAACGGCUCACCAAGUCUGUGAUCUUUAGGGGUCCUGAGAGGGAGAUCCCCCACACUGGUACUGAGACACGGACCAGACUCCUACGGGAGGCAGCAGUGAGGAAUAUUGGACAAUGGGUGAAAGCCUGAUCCAGCCAUCCCGCGUGAAGGAUGACGGUCCUAUGGAUUGUAAACUUCUUUUGUACAGGAAUAAACCUACUCUCGUGAGAGUAGCUGAAGGUACUGUACGAAUAAGCACCGGCUAACUCCGUGCCAGCAGCCGCGGUAAUACGGAGGGUGCAAGCGUUAUCCGGAUUUAUUGGGUUUAAAGGGUCCGUAGGCGGGCCUGUAAGUCAGUGGUGAAAUCUCAUAGCUUAACUAUGAAACUGCCAUUGAUACUGCAGGUCUUGAGUAAAUUUGAAGUGGCUGGAAUAAGUAGUGUAGCGGUGAAAUGCAUAGAUAUUACUUAGAACACCAAUUGCGAAGGCAGGUCACUAAGAUUUAACUGACGCUGAUGGACGAAAGCGUGGGUAGCGAACAGGAUUAGAUACCCUGGUAGUCCACGCCGUAAACGAUGCUAACUCGUUUUUGGAUCUUCGGAUUCAGAGACCAAGCGAAAGUGAUAAGUUAGCCACCUGGGGAGUACGUUCGCAAGAAUGAAACUCAAAGGAAUUGACGGGGGCCCGCACAAGCGGUGGAUUAUGUGGUUUAAUUCGAUGAUACGCGAGGAACCUUACCAAGACUUAAAUGGGAAAUGACAGGUUUGGAAACAGACCCUUCUUCGGACAUUUUUCAAGGUGCUGCAUGGUUGUCGUCAGCUCGUGCCGUGAGGUGUUAGGUUAAGUCCUGCAACGAGCGCAA